This 28-nucleotide ribosomal RNA is filed under the name Komagataeibacter xylinus. Its description in RNAcentral is "23S rRNA". The record is from RNAcentral. Lineage: Bacteria; Pseudomonadati; Pseudomonadota; Alphaproteobacteria; Acetobacterales; Acetobacteraceae. RNAcentral also lists the same sequence under 1 other name.
ACGUGGCACGCUGCGAAAAGCCAUGGGG